GGUCCGUAGCGUUUUUGACGUGCAAAUCAAUCGUCAGACUUGGGUAUAGGGGCGAAAGACUAAUCGAACCAUCUAGUAGCUGGUUCCCUUCGAAGUUUCCCCCAGGAAAGCUGGUGUCGUGUCAGACAGUUUCGUCUGGUAAAGCGAAUGAUUAGAGGAAUUGGGGAUGAAUUGUCCUCGACCUAUUCUCAAACUUUAAAUGGGUGAUAAGAGCUCGUACACUGCUUAACUUUAUGAGUGUCGAGCCUAAAUGCAAUGGCACCAAGUGGGCCACUUUUGGUAAGCAGAACUGGCGAUGUGGGAUGAACCAAACGUCGAGCUAAGAUGCCCAGAAUGCCUCUCAUGAGACACCAUGAAAGGUGUCAGUCGAUACUGACAGCAGGACGGUGGCCGCAGAAGUAGGAAUCCGCUAAGGAGUGUGUACCAACUCACCUGCCGAAUCGACUGGCCCUGAAAAUGGAUGGCGCUAGAGACGCAUAUCGAUGCUCGACCGUCAACGCCAACACUUCGUGUGCGCGAAUGCUAGAUGGCUUGACGUGUAGAAGGGCGAUUGCGGUGGCGUCGAAACCUGCACCGUGAGGGUGGGGUUGAGCCGCCGCAUGUGCAGAUCUUGGUGGUAGUAGCAAGUAUUCAAAUGAGAGCAUUGAAGACUGAAGUGGAGUAAGGUUCCAUGUGAACAACAUUUGAACAUGGAUCAGCCGAUCCUAAGAGAACGGUUAAGUUCGUGAUUAAGCGCUUAUUGCUUUGUGCAAGGCGAUCGAAAGGGAAUCGGGUUAAUAUUCCCGAGCCAAGAUACGGUUGAUGUGCGACAUUUCAAAAGUGCCUCGUGCACUAAUGGUGUCGGGCAUGAGUGGCAACACCGACAAACCCAGAGAUUAACUAUGCGAAGUCCGGGGAAGAGUUUUCUCUUCUUUGUAAGGAAUGUUAUCCCUGGAAUCAGAUUGUCUGGCGAUAGGGUACGCAUUCCGUAAUGCAGCGCGAUUCGUGCGAUGUACCGUGCGCUUCGUAUAGUGCUUGAAAAUCUGGGGGCGUGAUUAUUCAGGCCGUACCUGUUCGUACUGAUUUCCGCAGCAGGUCUCCAAGGUGAGUAGCCUCUAGUCAAUAGGACAAAGUAGACAAGGGAAGUCGGCAAAUUAGAUCCGUAACUUCGGAAAAAGGAUUGGCUCUAAAGGCUGAGCUGAUCGGGCUGUUGCAAGAAACAGCAUGUUGGGACUUUGCGCUGUCUGCGUUGUUGUUCACUCGCAAGGGUGUCAGCUUCGAGGACGGACUUUGCUUUCGCGUUCUGUGGGUGGUGAUGGCUAUGCCGCUUGGUUGGUUUGGCGUUCGUUAACGCGGCGUCCUGCCUUCGAAGUGGAUCCGAUCAGCGUUAAACAGCUGACCUAGAACUGGUAUGGACAAGAGGAAUCCAACUGUUUAAUUAAAACAAAGCAUUGCGAUAGCUGUAAUCGGUGUUGACGCAAUGUGAUUUCUGCCCAGUGCUGUGAAUGUUAAAGUGAAGAAAUUCAUCAAAGCGCC
This 1515-nucleotide ribosomal RNA is filed under the name Acanthogyrus sp. MK8. Its description in RNAcentral is "partial large subunit ribosomal RNA". It matches the Rfam family "Eukaryotic large subunit ribosomal RNA", at positions 872 to 2244 of the family's 3401-position model. The record is from RNAcentral. Lineage: Eukaryota; Metazoa; Acanthocephala; Eoacanthocephala; Gyracanthocephala; Quadrigyridae.